Molecule: non-coding RNA, 30 nt
Filed under: Rattus norvegicus (Norway rat)
Lineage: Eukaryota; Metazoa; Chordata; Mammalia; Rodentia; Muridae
Source: RNAcentral
UGUCUCAAGAAAUCUAGAAAUUUUGAGAAA